GGCAAUAGCUCAAAUUUGAAAUCUGCUCUUUUAGAGUCGAAUUGUAAUUUGUAGAGGAUGCUUCGGCUUACGUUUCGGUCUAAGUUCCUUGGAACAGGACGUCACAGAGGGUGAGAAUCCCGUUUGUGGCCGAGACUUCCGCCAUGUGAAGCUCCUUCGACGAGUCGAGUUGUUUGGGAAUGCAGCUCUAAAUGGGAGGUAUAUUUCUUCUAAAGCUAAAUACCGGCCAGAGACCGAUAGCGCACAAGUAGAGUGAUCGAAAGAUGAAAAGCACUUUGGAAAGAGAGUUAAAAAGUACGUGAAAUUGUUGAAAGGGAAGCGCUUGCGACCAGACUUGCCCGCGGAUGCUCAACCGGUCCUUCGGCCGGUGCACUCUUCCGCGGUCAGGCCAGCAUCAGUUCGAGUAGCCAGAUAAAGGCAUUGGGAAUGUGGCUCUCUUCGGGGAGUGUUAUAGCCCUUUGUGCAAUAUGGCUCAUUUGGACUGAGGCCCGCGCUUCGGCUAGGAUGCUGGCGUAAUGGUCGUAAGCGGCCCGUCUUG
Molecule: ribosomal RNA, 538 nt
Filed under: Helicomyces lilliputeus
Lineage: Eukaryota; Fungi; Ascomycota; Dothideomycetes; Tubeufiales; Tubeufiaceae
Description: eukaryotic LSU rRNA
Rfam family: Eukaryotic large subunit ribosomal RNA
Source: RNAcentral